Molecule: ribosomal RNA, 447 nt
Filed under: uncultured bacterium
Lineage: Bacteria
Description: bacterial SSU rRNA
Rfam family: Bacterial small subunit ribosomal RNA
Source: RNAcentral
UCGGGAAUUUUGGGCAAUGGGCGAAAGCCUGACCCAGCAACGCCGCGUGAAGGAUGAAGUAUUUCGGUAUGUAAACUUCGUAAGAAUAGGAAGAAUAAAUGACGGUACUAUUUGUAAGGUCCGGCUAACUACGUGCCAGCAGCCGCGGUAAUACGUAGGGACCAAGCGUUGUUCGGAUUUACUGGGCGUAAAGGGCGCGUAGGCGGUGUGUCAAGUCAGUUGUGAAAUCUCCGAGCUUAACUCGGAACGGUCAACUGAUACUGUCACACUAGAGUACAGAAGGGGCAAUCGGAAUUCUUGGUGUAGCGGUGAAAUGCGUAGAUAUCAAGAGGAACACCGAUGGCGAAGGCAGCCCCCUGGGUCAACACUGACGCUCAUGCACGAAAGCGUGGGGAGCAAACAGGAUUAGAUACCCCCGUAGUCCCUGAGCGGGCUGGCAAGGCGCAU